RNAcentral lists this microRNA precursor (57 nucleotides) under Mesocestoides corti. Its description in RNAcentral is "microRNA mco-mir-2162 precursor". Lineage: Eukaryota; Metazoa; Platyhelminthes; Cestoda; Cyclophyllidea; Mesocestoididae. The record is from miRBase by way of RNAcentral.
AGUGAUUCUGUUGCAUAAUUACACUGUAAACUGAAGUAUUAUGCAACAUUUCACUCA